Molecule: ribosomal RNA, 253 nt
Filed under: uncultured bacterium
Lineage: Bacteria
Description: partial 16S ribosomal RNA
Rfam family: Bacterial small subunit ribosomal RNA
Source: RNAcentral
UACGUAGGCAGCAAGCGUUGUUCGGAAUUACUGGGCGUAAAGAGUGUGUAGGCGGUGCUCUAAGUUUGGUGUGAAAUCUCCCGGCUCAACUGGGAGGGUGCAUCGAAAACUGGAGUGCUCGAGGGUGGGAGAGGUAAGCGGAAUUCCUGGUGUAGCGGUGAAAUGCGUAGAUAUCAGGAGGAACACCUGUGGUGUAGACAGCUUACUGGACCACUUCUGACGCUGAGACACGAAAGCGUGGGGAGCAAACAGG